CAUUUCUUUCCGGAAUUUUGUCACAGUAUUGGGAGGAUGACCACCAUGUGAACCCAUGAAUCGGAAAGGAUCCCAGAUAAAGCUGCUGUGCUUAAGUGUUUAACAAAGACACAGGACGUUCACCAGAAGAUGGUGCGAUGGACAGGAGUGGCUAAGAGCUUAUGCCCUGGGCCCAGAAGCUUGUGAGAGUGGCAAGAGGAGAUAUAGCCAUGGAGGAGCAAGGACCAGCUUCCAUUUUGGAGGAAUCUACAAUGGGGGGGGGAUGCUUCCCCUCCUCUGCCAUUCUAAGAAGGAAGAACUGCGCUGGACGACUCUGACAUGAAUGACUUCCGCCCUUUCGGAAAGUCUAGUAAAUCUUCAGAAUCGGAGGAUACAGAGACGAGGGUAUCCCACAGGAUGCGCAAGCGUGCGAGCCAGUCUCAGAAAAGAAGAAUCAAAACAUAACCUGGACGAUUAUAUUCCCGGGACAGGCCUACACGUUGCCUGCAUAAUUAUUUUGAAAGCAGGGACACUUGAGCAUGCAGGUGCUGCUAUGCUUCAAAGUAAGCUCAUUAGACAACGGCUCCUUGCAGCAUUGACGGCAGUAAGUAAACAUGACCCCAGGAAAAGCGCCACUGGAUGUUUUCAAUAGAGGCAUGCCAAGGACAGUCCUUUUCCAAGAGCUGGGGUAUACAGCAGUGGCAGAGGAAGGUGAGGAUUUUAAAAGAAGUCAUAUGACACCAUUGUCAGGAAAGCACAAUGUUGUCGAUGUUGGAAACCAUGGCUACUAGUUUCUGCGAGUUAAAAUGUCAAGUCCCCUUUUGCUGACAAAAGCUCCAAGGGAACAGUUGUCUCUCCCUGAUGAGCUACACUGUAAGGGCGAUGGAAUCUUUCUGUCAGAGCCUUUUCUGAAGGGCAUGCCUCCUAAUAACCUUCAUUAACUUCUGUUUGGUUGCCCAAGAGUUGUCUCUUAUCCAAAAAAAGUUUAACACAGUCUCAAAAAGAGAUUGUGUUUAUUUAAGCUUGUUGGAAAAACAUUCCUAUCAUUUCAAG
Mesocricetus auratus (golden hamster) is the source of this 1032-nucleotide long non-coding RNA. RefSeq lists it as uncharacterized. NCBI's taxonomy places the organism in Eukaryota, Metazoa, Chordata, Mammalia, Rodentia, Cricetidae. The record is from RefSeq and is a predicted model, not a curated record. The transcript has 3 exons.